UACAGAGGGUGCAAACGUUGUUCGGAAUCACUGGGCAUAAAGCGCACGUAGGCGGCUUAGCAAGUGUGGUGUGAAAGCCCCCGGCCCAACCGGGGAACUGCAUCACAGACUGCUAGGCUAGAGAGCGGUAGGGGAGACUGGAACUCCUGGUGGAGCGGUGAAAUGCGUAGAUAUCAGGAGGAACACCGGUGGUGAAAACGAGUCUCUGGUCCGCUUCUGACGCUCAGGUGCGAAAGCUAGGGGAGCAAACGGG
RNAcentral lists this ribosomal RNA (253 nucleotides) under uncultured bacterium. Its description in RNAcentral is "partial 16S ribosomal RNA". It matches the Rfam family "Bacterial small subunit ribosomal RNA", at positions 524 to 776 of the family's 1533-position model. The record is from RNAcentral.